AGCGAACGCCGGCGGCAUGCUUAACACAUGCAAGUCGCACGGGGGCUUUCGGGCUUCAGUGGCGGACGGGUGAGUAUCGCGUAGGGAUUUAUCGUUGGAUGGGGGAUAACCUUGGGAAACUGGGGCUAAUACCGCAUGACGCCUGUGGGCCAAAGCAGUGAUGCGUCUGACGAGGAGCCUGCGUCCGAUUAGGUAGUUGGUUGGGUUACGGCUGACCAAGCCUGCGAUCGGUAGCUGGUCUGAGAGGAUGAUCAGCCACACUGGGACUGAGACACGGCCCAGACUCCUACGGGAGGCAGCAGUGGGGAAUAUUGGACAAUGGGCGCAAGCCUGAUCCAGCAAUGCCGCGUGGAUGAAGAAGGUCUUCGGAUUGUAAAGUCCUUUCGGCGGGGACGAUGAUGACGGUACCCGCAGAAGAAGCCCCGGCUAACUUCGUGCCAGCCGCCGCAGUAAAAC
This 456-nucleotide ribosomal RNA is filed under the name uncultured bacterium. Its description in RNAcentral is "bacterial SSU rRNA". It matches the Rfam family "Bacterial small subunit ribosomal RNA", at positions 29 to 526 of the family's 1533-position model. The record is from RNAcentral.